Molecule: long non-coding RNA, 238 nt
Organism: Microtus oregoni (creeping vole)
Lineage: Eukaryota; Metazoa; Chordata; Mammalia; Rodentia; Cricetidae
Exons: 3
Source: RefSeq, a predicted model, not a curated record
GCAAGAUGUGACUGCCUCGCCAAAUAAGAAGUUCCAGCGUGAGCUAAGCACCAAGUGGGUGUUGAAUACAGUGAGUACCGAGGCCCACGUGCUGCUGGGGAAGACCCUACAGAACCACAUGCUGGACCUCCGCAUCACCAACUCCAAGCUCUUUUGGAGGGCACUGGCCAUGUUGCAGCGGUUCUCUGGACAGUCCAAGGCUCGCUGCAUCGAGAGCCUCCUCCAAGCAAUCCAUUUU